UCAAGCGAACAAGUGCAUGUGGUGGAUGCCUUGGCGAUCACAGGCGAUGAAGGACGCGGUAGCCUGCGAAAAGCUACGGGGAGCUGGCAAACGAGCUUUGAUCCGUAGAUGUCCGAAUGGGGAAACCCGGCCCUUUUGGGUCAUCCUAGACUGAAUACAUAGGUCUAGUGAAGCGAACGCGGUGAACUGAAACAUCUAAGUAACCGCAGGAAAAGAAAUCAACCGAGAUUCCCAAAGUAGUGGCGAGCGAAAUGGGAUGAGCCUUGCACUCUUUAUUUGUAUUGUUAGCCGAACGCUCUGGAAAGUGCGGCCAUAGCAGGUGAUAGCCCUGUAGGCGAAAACAGUAUGAAAGAACUAGGUGUGCGACAAGUAGGGCGGGACACGUGAAAUCCUGUCUGAAGAUGGGGGGACCAUCCUCCAAGGCUAAAUACUCGUGAUCGACCGAUAGUGAACCAGUACCGUGAGGGAAAGGCGAAAAGAACCCCGGGAGGGGAGUGAAAUAGAUCCUGAAACCGCAUGCAUACAAACAGUCGGAGCCUCGUAAGGGGUGACGGCGUACCUUUUGUAUAAUGGGUCAGCGACUUACGUUCAGUAGCAAGCUUAACCGUAUAGGGCAGGCGUAGCGAAAGCGAGUCCGAAUAGGGCGUUCAGUUGCUGGGCGUAGACCCGAAACCAAGUGAUCUAUCCAUGGCCAGGAUGAAGGUGCGGUAACACGUACUGGAGGUCCGAACCCACUAACGUUGAAAAGUUAGGGGAUGAGCUGUGGAUAGGGGUGAAAGGCUAAACAAACUUGGAAAUAGCUGGUUCUCUCCGAAAACUAUUUAGGUAGUGCCUCGUGUCUCACCUUCGGGGGUAGAGCACUGUCAUGGUUGGGGGGUCUAUUGCAGAUUACCCCGCCAUAGCAAACUCCGAAUACCGAAGAGUGCAAUCACGGGAGACAGACAUCGGGUGCUAACGUCCGGUGUCAAGAGGGAAACAACCCAGACCGCCAGCUAAGGUCCCCAAAUAUAGCUAAGUGGGAAACGAAGUGGGAAGGCUAAAACAGUCAGGAGGUUGGCUUAGAAGCAGCCACCCUUUAAAGAAAGCGUAAUAGCUCACUGAUCGAGUCGUCCUGCGCGGAAGAUGUAACGGGGCUAAGCUAUAUACCGAAGCUGCGGAUGCGAGCUUUGCUCGCAUGGUAGGAGAGCGUUCCGUAAGCCUGCGAAGGUGCCUUGUAAAGGGUGCUGGAGGUAUCGGAAGUGCGAAUGCUGACAUGAGUAGCGAUAAAGGGGGUGAAAGGCCCCCUCGCCGUAAGCCCAAGGUUUCCUACGCAACGUUCAUCGGCGUAGGGUGAGUCGGCCCCUAAGGCGAGGCAGAAAUGCGUAGCUGAUGGGAAGCAGGUCAAUAUUCCUGCACCAUUGUUAGAUGCGAUGGGGGGACGGAUCGCGGAAGGUUGUCCGGGUGUUGGAAGUCCCGGUCGCUGCAUUGGAGAAGGCGCUUAGGCAAAUCCGGGCGCAGGAUUCAAGGGUGUGGCGCGAGCUCCUUAGGGAGCGAAGCAAUUGGAAGUGGUUCCAAGAAAAGCCUCUAAGCUUCAGUCUAACGAUGACCGUACCGCAAACCGACACAGGUGGGCGAGAUGAGUAUUCUAAGGCGCUUGAGAGAACUCGGGAGAAGGAACUCGGCAAAUUGGUACCGUAACUUCGGGAUAAGGUACGCCCUUGUAGCUUGACUGGCCUGCGCCAGGAGGGUGAAGGGGUUGCAAUAAACUGGUGGCUGCGACUGUUUAAUAAAAACACAGCACUCUGCAAACACGAAAGUGGACGUAUAGGGUGUGACGCCUGCCCGGUGCCGGAAGAUUAAAUGAUGGGGUGCAAGCUCUUGAUUGAAGUCCCGGUAAACGGCGGCCGUAACUAUAACGGUCCUAAGGUAGCGAAAUUCCUUGUCGGGUAAGUUCCGACCUGCACGAAUGGCGUAACGAUGGCCACACUGUCUCCUCCCGAGACUCAGCGAAGUUGAAGUGUUUGUGAUGAUGCAAUCUACCCGCGGCUAGACGGAAAGACCCCAUGAACCUUUACUGUAGCUUUGCAUUGGACUUUGAACCGAUCUGUGUAGGAUAGGUGGGAGGCUAUGAAACCGGAACGCUAGUUUCGGUGGAGCCGUCCUUGAAAUACCACCCUGGUUUGUUUGAGGUUCUAACCUUGGCCCGUGAUCCGGGUCGGGGACAGUGCAUGGUAGGCAGUUUGACUGGGGCGGUCUCCUCCCAAAGCGUAACGGAGGAGUACGAAGGUACGCUAGGUACGGUCGGAAAUCGUGCUGAUAGUGCAAUGGCAUAAGCGUGCUUAACUGCGAGACCGACAAGUCGAGCAGGUGCGAAAGCAGGUCAUAGUGAUCCGGUGGUUCUGUAUGGAAGGGCCAUCGCUCAACGGAUAAAAGGUACUCUGGGGAUAACAGGCUGAUACCGCCCAAGAGUUCAUAUCGACGGCGGUGUUUGGCACCUCGAUGUCGGCUCAUCUCAUCCUGGGGCUGUAGCCGGUCCCAAGGGUAUGGCUGUUCGCCAUUUAAAGAGGUACGUGAGCUGGGUUUAAAACGUCGUGAGACAGUUUGGUCCCUAUCUGCCGUGGGCGUUGGAUAUUUGAAGGGGGCUGCUCCUAGUACGAGAGGACCGGAGUGGACGAACCUCUGGUGUACCGGUUGUCACGCCAGUGGCAUCGCCGGGUAGCUAUGUUCGGAAGAGAUAACCGCUGAAAGCAUCUAAGCGGGAAACUCGCCUUAAGAUGAGAUAUCCCUGGGGACUAGAUCCCCUUGAAGGGUCGUUCGAGACCAGGACGUUGAUAGGUCAGGUGUGUAAGCGCAGUAAUGCGUUCAGCUAACUGAUACUAAUUGCCCGUAAGGCUUGAUCCU
RNAcentral lists this ribosomal RNA (2880 nucleotides) under Burkholderia ubonensis subsp. mesacidophila. RNAcentral describes it as "bacterial LSU rRNA". It matches the Rfam family "Bacterial large subunit ribosomal RNA". Lineage: Bacteria; Pseudomonadati; Pseudomonadota; Betaproteobacteria; Burkholderiales; Burkholderiaceae. The record is from RNAcentral.